AGUGAACGCUGGCGGUAGGCCUAACACAUGCAAGUCGAACGGCAGCACAGUAAGAGCUUGCUCUUACGGGUGGCGAGUGGCGGACGGGUGAGGAAUACAUCGGAAUCUACUUUUUCGUGGGGGCUAACGUAGGGAAACUUACGCUAAUACCGCAUACGACCUACGGGUGAAAGCAUGGGAUCUUCGGACCUUGCGCGAUUGAAUGAGCCGAUGUCGGAUUAGCUAGUUGGCGGGGUAAAGGCCCACCAAGGCGACGAUCCGUAGCUGGUCUGAGAGGAUGAUCAGCCACACUGGAACUGAGACACGGUCCAGACUCCUACGGGAGGCAGCAGUGGGGAAUAUUGGACAAUGGGCGCAAGCCUGAUCCAGCCAUACCGCGUGGGUGAAGAAGGCCUUCGGGUUGUAAAGCCCUUUUGUUGGGAAAGAAAAGCAGCAGGUUAAUACCCCGCUGUUCUGACGGUACCAAAAGAAUAAGCACCGGCUAACUUCGUG
RNAcentral lists this ribosomal RNA (492 nucleotides) under uncultured bacterium. RNAcentral describes it as "partial 16S ribosomal RNA". It matches the Rfam family "Bacterial small subunit ribosomal RNA", at positions 29 to 507 of the family's 1533-position model. The record is from RNAcentral.